RNAcentral lists this ribosomal RNA (986 nucleotides) under uncultured bacterium. RNAcentral describes it as "bacterial SSU rRNA". It matches the Rfam family "Bacterial small subunit ribosomal RNA", at positions 62 to 1031 of the family's 1533-position model. The record is from RNAcentral.
UCGUACGAGAAAUCCCGAGCUCGCUUGGGAGAUAAAGUCGGCGCACGGGUGAGUAACGCGUGGGUAACCCACCUUCGAAUCUGGGAUAACUCCGCGAAAGCGGUGCUAAUACCGGAUAAGACCACAGCCGUUUCGGCGGCAGAGGUAAAAGCUGACCUCUCCAUGGAAGUUAGCGUUCGAGGACGGGCCCGCGUCCUAUCAGCUUGUUGGUGGGGUAAAGGCCUACCAAGGCAGCGACGGGUAGCUGGUCUGAGAGGAUGAUCAGCCACACUGGAACUGGAACACGGUCCAGACUCCUACGGGAGGGCAGCAGUGAGGAAUUUUGCGCAAUGGGGGAAACCCUGACGCAGCAACGCCGCGUGGGUGAAGAAGGCUUUCGGGUCGUAAAGCCCUGUCAGGUGGGAAGAACCGUUUCGAUACUAAUAAUGUCGAAGCCUGACGGUACCACCAGAGGAAGCACCGGCCAACUCCGUGCCAGCAGCCGCGGUAAUACGGAGGGUGCAAGCGUUGUUCGGAAUUAUUGGGCGUAAAGAGCGUGUAGGCGGUUCGGUAAGUCAGAUGUGAAAGCCCUGGGCUCUACCCAGGAAGUGCAUUUGAAACUACCAGACUUGAGUACGGGAGAGGAGGGGGGAAUUCCCGGUGUAGAGGUGAAAUUCGUAGAUAUCGGGAGGAAUACCAGUGGCGAAGGCGCCCCUCUGGAUCGAUACUGACGCUGAGACGCGAAAGCGUGGGGAGCAAACAGGAUUAGAUACCCUGGUAGUCCACGCCGUAAACGAUGAGCACUAGGUGUAGCGGGUAUUGACCCCUGCUGUGCCGUAGCUAACGCAUUAAGUGCUCCGCCUGGGACUACGGUCGCAAGACUAAAACUCAAAGGAAUUGACGGGGCCCGCACAAGCGGUGGAGCAUGUGGUUAUGACGCCAAGGGAGAACUUACCUGGGCUUGACAUCCCGACACCUGAACAUGUCUCCCUUCUUACCAGGUAACG